RNAcentral lists this ribosomal RNA (465 nucleotides) under uncultured bacterium. Its description in RNAcentral is "partial 16S ribosomal RNA". It matches the Rfam family "Bacterial small subunit ribosomal RNA", at positions 28 to 507 of the family's 1533-position model. The record is from RNAcentral.
GAUGAACGCUGGCGGCGUGCUUAACACAUGCAAGUCGAACGGAAAGGCUCCUUCUUUCCGGGGUACUCGAGUGGCGAACGGGUGAGUAACACGUGGGUGAUCUGCCCUGCACUUCGGGAUAAGCCUGGGAAACUGGGUCUAAUACCGGAUAGGACGAUGGUUUGGAUGCCAUUGUGGACAGUUUUUCGGUGUGGGAUGAGCUCGCGGCCUAUCAGCUUGUUGGUUGGGUAAUGGCCUACCAAGGCGUCGACGGGUAGCCGGCCUGAGAGGGUGUACGGCCAAAUUGGGACUGAGAUAAGGCCAAACCUCCUACGGGAGGCAGAAGUGGGGAAUAUUGCACAAUGAGCGCAAGCGUGAUGCAGCGACGCCGCGUGGGGGAUGACGGCCUUCGGGUUGUAACCUCCUUUCGCUAGGGACGAAGCGCAAGUGACGGUACCUGGAGAAGAAGCACCGGCUAACUACGUG